Non-coding RNA from Podarcis lilfordi (Lilford's wall lizard), 74 nucleotides. NCBI's taxonomy places the organism in Eukaryota, Metazoa, Chordata, Lepidosauria, Squamata, Lacertidae. The record is from the annotation of a GenBank genome assembly.
GCCUCGAUAGCUCAGCUGGUUAAAGUGUGGUGCUAAUAAUGCCAAGCUUGCAGGAUCGAUCCCUGUAUUGGACA